AUGACCGCGGAUCCCCCAACCUCCCAUGUUCCUCCUAACCUCUUUCACCCCUCUCCUGAUGUGCUCCAUGCUGGUCUCGCGACAGAGAUGACGUUGAACCUUUGGUUGCACGGCGCGGCGGCUCGCCAUGGGACUCGACAGUACGGUGGCCAGUCCCGUGACACCAUGCCUCUCCCACCUCUUUCGGUGGCUUUCUCUGCUGCCCCUGGAGCUCAACGUGGAGGGACUCGCCAUGCAUCGCGCAUCGUUCUGGACGCGGCUGCCCACUACCCUGCAAGUCGACUGUUCCAACGCCCACAAGUGUUCGACGUUAUGUUUGGACAGCUGUAG
Molecule: ribosomal RNA, 330 nt
Filed under: Triticum aestivum (bread wheat)
Lineage: Eukaryota; Viridiplantae; Streptophyta; Magnoliopsida; Poales; Poaceae
Description: partial small subunit ribosomal RNA
Source: RNAcentral